Long non-coding RNA from Sander lucioperca (pikeperch), 81 nucleotides. RefSeq lists it as uncharacterized. The record is from RefSeq and is a predicted model, not a curated record. Lineage: Eukaryota; Metazoa; Chordata; Actinopteri; Perciformes; Percidae. The transcript has 3 exons.
UUUGGCUUCACUUUGUACAGCGGGAGGAAGUGGAGACGAGUCAUCCAUCUUUAUACACCGACUAUGGGUUCAACUUAUUGG